UGACUCUCGGCAACGGAUAUCUCGGCUCUCGCAUCGAUGAAGAACGUAGCAAAAUGCGAUACUUGGUGUGAAUUGCAGAAUCCCGCGAACCAUCGAGUCUUUGAACGCAAGUUGCGCCCGAGGCCACCAGGCCGAGGGCACGCCUGCCUGGGCGUCACGCCCC
Molecule: ribosomal RNA, 163 nt
Filed under: Tacca leontopetaloides (Polynesian arrowroot)
Lineage: Eukaryota; Viridiplantae; Streptophyta; Magnoliopsida; Dioscoreales; Taccaceae
Description: 5.8S ribosomal RNA
Rfam family: 5.8S ribosomal RNA
About the family: 5.8S ribosomal RNA (5.8S rRNA) is a component of the large subunit of the eukaryotic ribosome. It is transcribed by RNA polymerase I as part of the 45S precursor that also contains 18S and 28S rRNA.
Source: RNAcentral